RNAcentral lists this long non-coding RNA (218 nucleotides) under Eucalyptus grandis. Its description in RNAcentral is "long non-coding RNA (EGRA_LNC007914)". The record is from RNAcentral. Lineage: Eukaryota; Viridiplantae; Streptophyta; Magnoliopsida; Myrtales; Myrtaceae.
UGAUGCCGUUGCCCCGAAAACCAGCGAUUGACGUCCCUGCUCGACCCAACGCCUUGUUGCCCGGAGUCGAAGCUCUGCAACCCGCCUCCGCCCAGCCUCACUGUCGCCGUUUGCUAGUGGUGCCAGACGCCGCACUAUCGCCAGUCCCCUCGCCGGAGCUCCAACGCCGGUCACCCUCCGUCCGGCGCUGACCACUGCUGCUUCUCCCCUCCAAAAUC